This 253-nucleotide ribosomal RNA is filed under the name uncultured bacterium. Its description in RNAcentral is "partial 16S ribosomal RNA". It matches the Rfam family "Bacterial small subunit ribosomal RNA", at positions 524 to 776 of the family's 1533-position model. The record is from RNAcentral.
UACGGGGGGAGCAAGCGUUGUUCGGAUUUACUGGGCGUAAAGGGCGCGUAGGCGGCCACGCACGUCCGUUGUGAAAUCGCUCGGCUCAACUGGGCGGGGUCAGCGGAUACGGUGUGGCUAGAGCAAGCUAGGGGGCAAUGGAAUUCCCGGUGUAGUGGUGGAAUGCGUAGAUAUCGGGAGGAACACCUGUGGCGAAAGCGGCGCACUGGACCACAACUGACGCUGAGGCGCGAAAGCUAGGGGAGCAAACAGG